This 82-nucleotide transfer RNA is filed under the name Rhodopirellula baltica. RNAcentral describes it as "tRNA-Ser". It matches the Rfam family "tRNA". From Rfam's summary of the family: Transfer RNA (tRNA) molecules are approximately 80 nucleotides in length. Their secondary structure includes four short double-helical elements and three loops (D, anti-codon, and T loops). The record is from RNAcentral. Lineage: Bacteria; Pseudomonadati; Planctomycetota; Planctomycetia; Pirellulales; Pirellulaceae. RNAcentral also lists the same sequence under 2 other names.
GGAGGAUAAGCGAAUUGGCCAGCGGACUGAUUCGAAAUCAGUUGCCCCAUUGGGGUUGUGGGUUCGAGUCCCAUGUCCUCCG